GUGUCCAGGGGAAGGUUCGUCCGCCCUGGGUGAGUCGGGACCUAAGCUGAUGCCGAAAGGCGUAGGUGAUGGACAACAGGUUGAUAUUCCUGUACUACCGAUAACCGUUUGAGAGAAGGGAUGACACAGUAGGAUAAGCUAAGCACACUGUUGGUUAUGUGUGCCCAAGCAUUGAGGCAGUCAAAGUAGGCAAAUCCGCUUUGAUAAUGCUGGGAUGUGAUGGGGAGCGAAAUUUAGUAGCGAAGUAGCUGAUUUCACACUGUCAAGAAAAGUCUCUAUCGAGGUUAAAGGUACCCGUACCGCAAACCGACACAGGUGGGUGAGGAGAGUAUCCUAAGGCCAGCGAGAGAACUGUUGUUAAGGAACUCGGCAAAAUGACCCCGUAACUUAGGGAUAAGGGGUGCCACCAUCAGGUGGCCGCAGAGAAUAGGCCCAAGCGACUGUUUACCAAAAACAUAGGUUUCUGCUAAGUCGCAAGACGAUGUAUAGGAGCUGACGCCUGCCCGGUGCUGGAAGGUUAAGGGGAUCUGUUAGAG
Molecule: ribosomal RNA, 536 nt
Filed under: Clostridioides difficile
Lineage: Bacteria; Bacillati; Bacillota; Clostridia; Peptostreptococcales; Peptostreptococcaceae
Description: bacterial LSU rRNA
Rfam family: Bacterial large subunit ribosomal RNA
Source: RNAcentral